Molecule: small nuclear RNA, 119 nt
Organism: Crocodylus porosus (Australian saltwater crocodile)
Lineage: Eukaryota; Metazoa; Chordata; Crocodylia; Crocodylidae
Gene: U2
Rfam family: U2 spliceosomal RNA
About the family: U2 is a small nuclear RNA (snRNA) component of the spliceosome (involved in pre-mRNA splicing). Complementary binding between U2 snRNA (in an area lying towards the 5' end but 3' to hairpin I) and the branchpoint sequence (BPS) of the intron results the bulging out of an unpaired adenosine, on the BPS, which initiates a nucleophilic attack at the intronic 5' splice site, thus starting the first of two transesterification reactions that mediate splicing.
Source: Ensembl
UGUCCUCCAUAGGAGGUCUAUAUUGAGCUGAUUCUUUUUGGUAUUGGGUGGUGGAACCGAAGCGUGCUCCAUCCACUCCAUGCAUUGACCUGGUAUUGCAGUGCUUCCAGGACCGGUGC